GGGCUCUAUAACUUUCUCUCUCUUUCUCCCUCCCAGACUCCUAUUGUGGAUAUUUUAGUAUUAGUUAAAGACAUGGGGAAGGACUUUUGAACUGGAUCUGACAAAGGCAUUAAUUGCCUCUUUUCCUUCAUCCUAUUCCCCAUGAGCAGCAUAAUAAGAUAGAGAAAAAAAUGAGAAAAAGAAAAAAUCAAAGGUGGCAAGG
RNAcentral lists this long non-coding RNA (202 nucleotides) under Elaeis guineensis (African oil palm). RNAcentral describes it as "long non-coding RNA (EGUI_LNC035378)". The record is from RNAcentral. Lineage: Eukaryota; Viridiplantae; Streptophyta; Magnoliopsida; Arecales; Arecaceae.